AGAGGGUGCGAGCGUUAAUCGGAUUUACUGGGCGUAAAGGGCGCGUAGGCGGUUAUAUGAGUGUGAUGUGAAAGCCCUGGGCUUAACCUAGGAAGUGCAUCGCAAACGAUAUGACUGGAGUACUAGAGAGGGUAGCGGAAUUUCCGGUGUAGCGGUGAAAUGCGUAGAGAUCGGAAGGAACGUCAAUGGCGAAGGCAGCUGCCUGGAUAGAUACUGACGCUGAGGCGCGAGAGCGUGGGGAGCAAACAGGAUUAGAUACCCUGGUAGUCCACGCUGUAAACGAUGAGAACUAGAUGUUGGAUGGGGAACCAUUUGGUGUCGAAGCAAACGCGAUAAGUUCUCCGCCUGGGAAGUACGGCC
RNAcentral lists this ribosomal RNA (360 nucleotides) under uncultured bacterium. RNAcentral's name for it is "bacterial SSU rRNA". It matches the Rfam family "Bacterial small subunit ribosomal RNA", at positions 527 to 887 of the family's 1533-position model. The record is from RNAcentral.